GACGAACGCUGGCGGCGUGCUUAACACAUGCAAGUCGAACGGAAAGGCCCUGCUUUUGUGGGGUGCUCGAGUGGCGAACGGGUGAGUAACACGUGAGUAACCUGCCCUUGACUUUGGGAUAACUUCAGGAAACUGGGGCUAAUACCGGAUAGGAGCUCCUGCUGCAUGGUGGGGGUUGGAAAGUUUCGGCGGUUGGGGAUGGACUCGCGGCUUAUCAGCUUGUUGGUGGGGUAGUGGCUUACCAAGGCUUUGACGGGUAGCCGGCCUGAGAGGGUGACCGGCCACAUUGGGACUGAGAUACGGCCCAGACUCCUACGGGAGGCAUCGGUGGGGAAUAUUGCACAAUGGGCGGAAGCCUGAUGCAGCAACGCCGCGUGCGGGAUGACGGCCUUCGGGUUGUAAACCGCUUUCGCCUGUGACGAAGCGUGAGUGACGGUAAUGGGUAAAGAAGCACCGGCUAACUACGUG
Molecule: ribosomal RNA, 468 nt
Filed under: uncultured bacterium
Lineage: Bacteria
Description: partial 16S ribosomal RNA
Rfam family: Bacterial small subunit ribosomal RNA
Source: RNAcentral